CUACGGGUCGCUGCAGUGGGGAAUAUUGCGCAAUGGGGGAAACCCUGACGCAGUGACGCCGUGUGAGUGAUGAAGGUUUUCGGAUCGUAAAGCUCUGUCAGACGGGAAGAAUAAGAACAGUAAAAAUAUUGCUGUUUGAUGACGGUACCGUCAGAGGAAGCACCGGCUAACUCCGUGCCAGCAGCCGCGGUAAUACGGAGGGUGCAAACGUUGUUCGGAAUUACUGGGCGUAAAGCGCAUGUAGGCGGAUAUGUAGGUCAGAUGUGAAAUCCCUUGGCUCAACCAAGGAAGUGCAUCUGAAACCCCAUAUCUUGAGUACGAGAGAGGGAAGUGGAAUUCCCAGUGUAGAGGUGAAAUUCAUAGAUAUUGGGAAGAACACCGGUGGCGAAGGCGGCUUUCUGGCUCGUAACUGACGCUGAGAUGCGAAAGCGUGGGGAGCAAACAGGAUUAGAUACCCCUGUAGUC
RNAcentral lists this ribosomal RNA (465 nucleotides) under uncultured bacterium. RNAcentral's name for it is "partial 16S ribosomal RNA". It matches the Rfam family "Bacterial small subunit ribosomal RNA", at positions 339 to 795 of the family's 1533-position model. The record is from RNAcentral.